AGUAUUAGUUAUGGUCUUAAAACCUAAAGAAUUUGGCGGUGUUUUAUUCUAUUCAGAGGAACUUGUCCCGUUAUCGAUAGUCCUCGUUAUAUCUUGCUUUGUUUAGUAUUACAGUAUGUAUACCGCCGUUAAAGGUUUAUUUUUUAAGAAUUUAAUUUACUUUAUAUUUAAUUAAAUUUUAUUUCAGGUCAAGGUGCAGCUAAUAACUAAGUGGUGAUGAGUUACAAUAUUAUUUGAAUAUAUGGAUUUGUACUUUAAAAUUUCAUUGAAAGUGGAUUUGUUAGUAAUUUUAUUUAUUUAAUUAUUAUGAUUUUAGUUCUAAAACAAGUACACAUCGCCCGAUCGCUCU
Molecule: ribosomal RNA, 349 nt
Filed under: Miroceramia sp. SB0342
Lineage: Eukaryota; Metazoa; Arthropoda; Insecta; Phasmatodea; Heteropterygidae
Description: partial 12S ribosomal RNA
Source: RNAcentral